GACGAACGCUGGCGGCGUGCUUAACACAUGCAAGUCGAACGGAAAGGCCCUGCUUUUGUGGGGUGCUCGAGUGGCGAACGGGUGAGUAACACGUGAGUAACCUGCCCUUGACUUUGGGAUAACUUCAGGAAACUGGGGCUAAUACCGGAUAGGAGCUCCUGCUGCAUGGUGGGGGUUGGAAAGUUUCGGCGGUUGGGGAUGGACUCGCGGCUUAUCAGCUUGUUGGUGGGGUAGUGGCUUACCAAGGGUUUGACGGGUAGCCGGCCUGAGAGGGUGACCGGCCACAUUGGGACUGAGAUACGGCCCAGACUCCUACGGGGGGCAGCAGUGGGGAAUAUUGCACAAUGGGCGGAAGCCUGAUGCAGAAGCGCCGCGUGCGGGAUGACGGCCUUCGGGUUGUAAACCGCUUUCGCCUGUGACGAAGCGUGAGUGACGGUAAUGGGUAAAGAAGCACCGGCUAACUACGUG
RNAcentral lists this ribosomal RNA (468 nucleotides) under uncultured bacterium. RNAcentral describes it as "partial 16S ribosomal RNA". It matches the Rfam family "Bacterial small subunit ribosomal RNA", at positions 28 to 507 of the family's 1533-position model. The record is from RNAcentral.